CCAGGGACCUCCAAUGGAACCGGGACGACUCUAUGUACUUCUUGUGGUGCUGAACAUUUCCCCGGAAAGCCUCGGGUUAUCUACUCAGCUCCCGGCCUCCCUGUGGGCCUGUCAACUGCCAGCUUCCCAGCGCUUCCGUGGGAAUGCAGAAGGCAAAGGUUUAAAAAACCGAGGCCGUGAAAGGUCCGGCCUAUGGCGCGGCGGACCACCCACGCCGAGGGCCACGGAGCGGCUUAAUAGCAACAGCCUUGGGAUUGUGCGUCCGCGCCGCGCCCGAGAGACCCGCGGUCCGCGCCGGGGUUCUUACCCUUUCCGCUGCUUUUGUAAAGACGGAGGAAGAGGAAGAGAAGACGAAGAGUAAGACCAAGAAAAAGACGACGACAGGAAAGACAAAGAGACCCGUGGCGGCCCGGCUAGGGGAAGACCGAGGAAGGCCGGGAGGAGACGGAGAAGCGUUGGGCGAGGGAAAAGGGCUGAAUGUGAACUCAAAG
Molecule: long non-coding RNA, 491 nt
Filed under: Fukomys damarensis (Damara mole-rat)
Lineage: Eukaryota; Metazoa; Chordata; Mammalia; Rodentia; Bathyergidae
Description: lncRNA (ENSFDAG00000027599.1)
Source: RNAcentral